RNAcentral lists this long non-coding RNA (1285 nucleotides) under Strigops habroptila (Kakapo). RNAcentral's name for it is "lncRNA (ENSSHBG00005000069.1)". Lineage: Eukaryota; Metazoa; Chordata; Aves; Psittaciformes; Psittacidae. The record is from RNAcentral.
GGACCACUCAGUGGAUAAAGAACUGGCUGGAUGGCCGCACACAAAGAGUUGUGGCCAACAGCUCAAUGUCCAACUGGAGACCAGUAACGAGUGGUGUCCCUCAGGGAUCAGUGGUGGGACUGAUCUUGUUCAACAUCUUUGUCGGCGACGUGGACAGUGGGCUUGAGUGCACCAUCAGCAUGUUUGCUGACGACACUGUUAUGUGGUUUGGUUGAUACAUUGGAGGGAAGGGAUGCCUUCCAGGGGGGUCUGGACAUGCUUGCGAGGUGGGCCAAUGCCAACCUCAUGAAGUUUAACCAAGCCAAGUGCAAGGCCCUGCACCUGGGUUGGGGCAAUCCCAGGCACUGCUACAGGUUGGGCGGAGAAGAGAUUCAGAGCAGCCCUGCAAAGAAGGACUUGGGGGUGUUGGUUGGUGAGAAACUGAACAUGAGCUGGCUUCAGUGUGCGCUCGCAGCCCAGAAACCAACUGUGUCCUGGGCUGCAUCAAAAGAAGCGUGACCAGCAGGUCGAAGGAGGUGAUCCUGCCCCUCUACUCUGCUCUCGUGAGACCCCACUUGGAGUACUGUGUACAGUUCUGGUAUCCUCAACAUAAAAAGGACAUGGAGCUGUUGGAGCGAGUCCAGAGGAGGGCCACGAGGAUGAUCAGGGGGCUGGAGCACCUCCCGUAUGAAGACAGGCUGAGGAAAUUGGGGCUGUUCAGCCUGGAGAAGAGAAGCUGCAUGGAGACCUCACAGCAGCUUUCCAGUAUCUGAAGGGGGUCUACAAGGAUGCUGGAGAGGGACUCUUCAUCAGGGACUGUAGUGAUAGAACAAAGGGGUAAUGGGUUUAAACUUAAACAGGGGAAGUUUAGAUUGGAUAUAAGGAAGAAGUUCUUUACUGUGAGAGUGGUGAGGCACUGGAGUGGGUUGUCCAAAGAAAUUGUGAAUGCUCCAUCCCUGGAAGUGUUCAAGGCGAGGCUGGACGGAGUCUUGGGUGACAUGGCUUAAUGUGUAGUGUCCCUGCCCAUGGCAGGGGGGUUGGAACUAGAUGAUCUUAAGGUCCUUUCCAACCCAAACCAUUCUAUGAUUCUAAAAUACAGGUGGUCUUGCUAAUAGUUUUUCAUUUUGCUGUGUGUGAUGCCUUAACUCAGUUUUACAUGAGAAAUACAUUAUUUUGUUAAGCUUAUAUAAUGUUAUUUUAUUAAGCUUAUAUGCAAGAGUUCUGAGGGUUUUUUUAAGACUUGUUUUCUUGUUUUGGUUUUAUUUUUAAAAAUAAUUUGCUAUUAAAGACAACUUUUACACAGAUA